Molecule: ribosomal RNA, 495 nt
Filed under: uncultured bacterium
Lineage: Bacteria
Description: partial 16S ribosomal RNA
Rfam family: Bacterial small subunit ribosomal RNA
Source: RNAcentral
GACGAACGCUGGCGGCGUGCCUAAUACAUGCAAGUAGAACGCUGAAGGAGGAGCUUGCUUCUCUGGAUGAGUUGCGAACGGGUGAGUAACGCGUAGGUAACCUGCCUGGUAGCGGGGGAUAACUAUUGGAAACGAUAGCUAAUACCGCAUAAGAGUAGAUGUUGCAUGACAUUUGCUUAAAAGGUGCAAUUGCAUCACUACCAGAUGGACCUGCGUUGUAUUAGCUAGUUGGUGGGGUAACGGCUCACCAAGGCGACGAUACAUAGCCGACCUGAGAGGGUGAUCGGCCACACUGGGACGGAGACACGGCCCAGACUCCUACGGGAGGCAGCAGUAGGGAAUCUUCGGCAAUGGACGGAAGUCUGACCGAGCAACGCCGCGGGAGUGAAGAAGGUUUUCGGGUCGUAAAGCUCUGUUGUAAGAGAAGAACGAGUGUGAGAGUGGAAAGUUCACACUGUGACGGUAUCUUACCAGAAAGGGACGGCUAACUACGUG